UUACCUAUACGACUCAUAGAUAAGGUAUUUUUGGUAGGUAAAAAUUGUCAUUUGAAUCAGUCAUUUUCAUGUGACGUGCCGUCAUGUUGGCACAAUACAUAUUUUUAUACCCACUUAAAUUAUGUUUAAGUUAAAAUUAAUUCUUUGGAUAGUUUUUUUUAGCAUUUUACAAAUAUGCGCGGCAUCCUACGCGUACCAACUAUGGACCCGCGAUACUUUAAAGGCGGAAGAGCCAUUAUAUCCCACUGAAGGAGACACCACCUUAUCAAAAGUUAUUGUGGCCAAUAUUGUAAUUCCGAUAAAGGAUUUGUUUUGUAAUCUAUACACAAAUUUUAUUGUGGUUUACCAUUGUAUUGUCGAAACUGCAGAUAACAUUGGAGAAAAAGUACAGCCUCCCCAAGGACCCAGCUUUUACUUAGAAAAAACCCUUAACCUACUAGGCCUGGUAUCUGAACAACCAAGUAUAUCCCAAAGCUGUUCUUACUACUCUUUCGUGGUAGUAAUUAUAUGUUUAGCUACUCUGUUCAGUCUUAUUUAUGCAACCAAGAAACUAGUCGAAUACGUCAAAGAAGAAGAAAAAAUAAUUCCACAUAUCUUAGGUGAUUUUACAGAUAAUAAAUGCUCUUGUUGUCAAGAAAAAAAUGAAGAAACUGAAUAAAUUCAUGUAGUGUUUUUUAAA
This is a long non-coding RNA of Anthonomus grandis grandis, 679 nucleotides long. RefSeq lists it as uncharacterized. The record is from RefSeq and is a predicted model, not a curated record. Lineage: Eukaryota; Metazoa; Arthropoda; Insecta; Coleoptera; Curculionidae. The transcript has 2 exons.